This 494-nucleotide ribosomal RNA is filed under the name uncultured bacterium. Its description in RNAcentral is "partial 16S ribosomal RNA". It matches the Rfam family "Bacterial small subunit ribosomal RNA", at positions 28 to 507 of the family's 1533-position model. The record is from RNAcentral.
GACGAACGCUGGCGGCGUGCUUAACACAUGCAAGUCGAACGGUGAAGCGCCUUCCUUUUUGGUGGGUGUGGAUGAGUGGCGAACGGGUGAGUAACACGUGAGUAACCUGCCCCCUUCUUCUGGAUAACCGCAUGAAAGUGUGGCUAAUACGGGAUAUUCUGGGUCUGUCGCAUGAUGGGUCUGGGAAAGAUAUUGUUUCGGUGGGGGAUGGGCUCGCGGCCUGUCAGCUUGUUGGGGGGGUGAUGGCCUACCAAGGCGGUGACGGGUAGCCGGCCUGAGAGGGUGGACGGUCACACUGGGACUGAGACACGGCUCAGACUCCUACGGGAGGCAGCAGUGGGGAAUAUUGCACAAUGGGCGCAAGCCUGAUGCAGCGACGCCGCGUGAGGGAUGGAGGCCUUCGGGUUGUGAACCUCUUUCGCCAGUGAAGCAGGCCUGCCUCGUUUGUGGGUGGGUUGACGGUAGCUGGAUAAGAAGCGCCGGCUAACUACGUG